AGCGAACGCUGGCGGCGUGCCUAACACAUGCAAGUCGAACGUGAAAAGGGAAACCUGAGUACAGUGGCGUACGGGUGAGUAACGCGUAGGUAAUCUACCCCAGAAUCUGGAAUAACCUGCCGAAAGGCGGGCUAAUACUGGAUAGAGCGAGGGAACUCGUAAGAGAGUUUUUCGGGAAAGGGAGCCCGCAAGGGCCUUCGUUCUGGGAUGAGCCUGCGUCUCAUUAGCUAGUUGGUAAGGUAACGGCUUACCAAGGCGAUGAUGAGUAGCUGGACUGAGAGGAUGAUCAGCCACACUGGAACUGAAACACGGUCCAGACUCCUACGGGAGGCAGCAGUGGGGAAUCUUGCGCAAUGGACGAAAGUCUGACGCAGCCACGCCGCGUGAGUGAAGAAGGCCUUCGGGUUGUAAAGCUCUGUCGGAUGGGACGAACAUCUUCAUAGUGAAUAGCUAGGAGGACUGACGGUACCAUCAAAGGAAGCACCGGCUAACUCCGUG
RNAcentral lists this ribosomal RNA (498 nucleotides) under uncultured bacterium. RNAcentral's name for it is "partial 16S ribosomal RNA". It matches the Rfam family "Bacterial small subunit ribosomal RNA", at positions 29 to 507 of the family's 1533-position model. The record is from RNAcentral.